This 497-nucleotide ribosomal RNA is filed under the name uncultured bacterium. Its description in RNAcentral is "partial 16S ribosomal RNA". It matches the Rfam family "Bacterial small subunit ribosomal RNA", at positions 28 to 523 of the family's 1533-position model. The record is from RNAcentral.
GAUGAACGCUGGCGGCGUGCUUAACACAUGCAAGUCGAACGAAGCACCUUAUUCUGAUUUCUUCGGAAUGAAAAAUUUGGUGACUGAGUGGCGGACGGGUGAGUAACGCGUGGGUAACCUGCCUCGUACAGGGGGAUAACAGUUAGAAAUGACUGCUAAUACCGCAUAAGACCACAGCACCGCAUGGUGCAGGGGUAAAAGCUCCGGUGGUAUGAGAUGGACCCGCGUCUGAUUAGGUAGUUGGUGGGGUAACGGCCUACCAAGCCGACGAUCAGUAGCCGACCUGAGAGGGUGACCGGCCACAUUGGGACUGAGACACGGCCCAAACUCCUACGGGAGGCAGCAGUGGGGAAUAUUGCACAAUGGGGGAAACCCUGAUGCAGCGACGCCGCGUGAGCGAUGAAGUAUUUCGGUAUGUGAAGCUCUAUCAGCAGGGAAGAAAAUGACGGUACCUGACUAAGAAGCACCGGCUAAAUACGUGCCAGCCGCCGCCGCGG